GAUGAACGCUGGCGGCGUGCCUAAUACAUGCAAGUCGAGCGAACAGACGAGGAGCUUGCUCCUUCGACGUUAGCGGCGGACGGGUGAGUAACACGUAGGUAACCUACCUAUAAGACUGGGAUAACUUCGGGAAACCGGAGCUAAUACCGGCUAAUAUUUCGAACCUCAUGGUUCGAUAGUGAAAGAUGGCUUUUCUAUCACUUAUAGAUGUACCUGCGCCGUAUUAGCUAGUUGGUAAGGUAACGGCUUACCAAGGCAACGAUACGUAGCCGACCUGAGAGGGUGAUCGGCCACACUGGAACGGAGACACGGUCCAGAGUCCUACGGGAGGCAGCAGUAGGGAAUAUUCCGAAAUGGGCGAAAGCCUGACGGAGCAAAGCCGCGUGAGUGAUGAAGGUCUUCGGAUCGUAAAACUCUGUUAUUAGGGAAGAACAAACGUGUAAGUAACUGUGCACGUCUUGACGGUAACUAAUCAGAAAGCCACGGCUAACUACGUG
Molecule: ribosomal RNA, 497 nt
Filed under: uncultured bacterium
Lineage: Bacteria
Description: partial 16S ribosomal RNA
Rfam family: Bacterial small subunit ribosomal RNA
Source: RNAcentral